CACACCGCCCGUCACACCAUGGAAGUCUGCUGCACCAGGAGUAGGUAGUCUAACCGCAAGGGGGGCGCCUACCACGGUGUGGCCGAUGACUGGGGUG
This 97-nucleotide ribosomal RNA is filed under the name uncultured bacterium. Its description in RNAcentral is "partial 16S ribosomal RNA". It matches the Rfam family "Bacterial small subunit ribosomal RNA", at positions 1386 to 1482 of the family's 1533-position model. The record is from RNAcentral.